This 516-nucleotide ribosomal RNA is filed under the name uncultured bacterium. Its description in RNAcentral is "bacterial SSU rRNA". It matches the Rfam family "Bacterial small subunit ribosomal RNA", at positions 44 to 574 of the family's 1533-position model. The record is from RNAcentral.
GUGCUUACACAUGCAGUCGAACGGUGAAGCGGAGCUUGCUCCGCCGAUCAGUGGCGAACGGGUGAGUAACACGUGAGUAACCUGCCCUCGACUCCGGGAUAAGCGUUGGAAACGACGUCUAAUACCGGAUACGACCCCCGUGGGCAUCCACUGGGGGUGGAAAGAACUUCGGUCGAGGAUGGACUCGCGGCCUAUCAGCUUGUUGGCGGGGUAACGGCCCACCAAGGCGACGACGGGUAGCCGGCCUGAGAGGGUGACCGGCCACACUGGGACUGAGACACGGCCCAGACUCCUACGGGAGGCAGCAGUGGGGAAUAUUGCACAAUGGGCGCAAGCCUGAUGCAGCAACGCCGCGUGAGGGACGACGGCCUUCGGGUUGUAAACCUCUUUUUGGCAGGGAAGAAGCGAAAGUGACGGUACCUGCAGAAAAAGCACCGGCUAACUACGUGCCAGCAGCCGCGGUAAUACGUAGGGUGCAAGCGUUGUCCGGAAUUAUUGGGCGUAAAGAGCUCGUAG